RNA transcript from Gorilla gorilla gorilla (western lowland gorilla), 4758 nucleotides. It is a transcript of the gene named piggyBac transposable element derived 5, with no coding region annotated. The record is from RefSeq and is a predicted model, not a curated record. Lineage: Eukaryota; Metazoa; Chordata; Mammalia; Primates; Hominidae. The transcript has 7 exons.
GGGGGCGGCGGGCCGCGGCGCGGGCCCGGGGCCCGGCGCGUGCGGCUGGGAGGCACUGUGGGGGGCGGGCGCGCGGGCGGCGGCCGGGGCCAUGGCCGAGGGCGGCGGGGGCGCGCGGAGGAGGGCGCCGGCGCUGCUCGAGGCUGCCCGCGCGCGCUACGAGAGCCUGCACAUCUCGGACGACGUGUUCGGCGAGUCCGGCCCGGACAGCGGCGGGAACCCCUUCUACAGCACCUCGGCCGCCUCGCGCUCCUCCUCGGCCGCCUCCUCGGACGACGAGCGCGAGCCCCCGGGACCCCCAGGGGCCGCCCCGCCACCGCCCCGCGCCCCGGACGCACAGGAGUCGGAGGAGGACGAGGCCGGCGCGGGCUGGAGCGCAGCGCUGCGGGACCGCCCGCCCCCGCGCUUCGAGGACACCGGCGGUCCCACCCGAAAGAUGCCCCCCAGCGCCAGUGCCGUGGACUUCUUCCAGCUCUUUGUCCCAGACAACGUCCUCAAGAACAUGGUGGUGCAGACAAACAUGUACGCCAAGAAGUUCCAGGAGCGGUUUGGGAGCGACGGAGCCUGGGUGGAGGUGACGCUGACGGAGAUGAAGGCGUUCCUGGGCUACAUGAUCUCCACCAGCAUCUCCCACUGCGAGUCCGUCCUCAGCAUCUGGAGCGGAGGCUUCUACAGCAACCGCAGCCUCGCCCUCGUCAUGAGCCAGGCCCGCUUCGAGAAGAUCCUCAAGUACUUCCACGUCGUGGCCUUCCGCUCCAGCCAGACCACGCACGGGCUCUACAAGGUCCAGCCCUUCCUCGACUCCCUGCAGAACAGCUUCGACUCUGCCUUCAGGCCUUCCCAAACGCAGGUGAGGCCCGCGCAGGAGGUGCUACAUGAACCCCUGAUCGAUGAGGAUCCUGUAUUCAUUGCCACGUGCACAGAGCGGGAGCUGCGAAAGAGGAAAAAGCGGAAAUUCAGCCUCUGGGUCAGACAGUGUUCUUCCACUGGCUUCAUCAUCCAGAUUUAUGUCCACCUGAAGGAAGGUGGGGGCCCAGAUGGCCUGGAUGCGCUGAAGAAUAAGCCCCAGCUCCACAGCAUGGUGGCCAGGAGCCUGUGCCGGAACGCGGCAGGCAAGAACUACAUCAUUUUCACGGGGCCCAGCAUCACCAGCCUGACCCUGUUUGAAGAGUUUGAGAAGCAAGGGAUUUACUGCUGCGGCUUGCUCAGCGCGCGGAAGAGUGACUGCACCGGCCUCCCACUGUCCAUGCUGACCAACCCAGCCACACCCCCGGCCCGGGGCCAGUACCAAAUCAAGAUGAAGGGGAACAUGUCCUUGAUCUGCUGGUACAACAAAGGACACUUCCGCUUCCUGACCAACGCCUACUCCCCGGUGCAGCAGGGCGGAUCUGUUGAUACCUUCUCUGCUCUCAUGCUUUAGGUCUCUGCUCUGUCCCAAGGCCAGAUAAGUAUAAGUUCACCUGGCUGUUUUAUGGUAUAAUUUUGUGCUCUUUACCAUAAUCCACUUCAAAUUUAUUUUGACGCAUGGCAUCAAGUGGGCCUCUACUAUUUUGUUGUUAAGUGGCCAGGCUGGGUUGACCCAGCAGCUGCACCUCUGUGCCUAGACCAUUUAUUGAAUAAUUCAUCCUUUUCCUAUUUAUUUUAAAUCUCACUCAGGGCCAGGUGUGGUGGCUCAUGCCUAUAAUCCGAGCUACUCAAGAGGCUGGGGCAGGAGAAUCUCUUGAACCUGGGAGACAGAGGUUGCAGUGAGCCGAGAUUGUGCCACUGCACUCCAGCCUGGCCGACAGAGCAAGACUCUGUCUCAGAUAUAUAUGUAUAUCUCAGAUGAUAAACUGAAGCAUCAUAUAUUCUAGAGACUACUUCUCAGCUCUAUCUUAUAUUCUGUUCUACUAUGACCAUAUAUACUCUGGUUGUAGUUGAGCAGAAUUUCCAAUUUUAGGAAAUAUGUAACUAGGUAUGAACAUUUUAGGAACUGGUUUAUUUUUUUUUACUCCAGAUUCUAGGGAAUCAUGAACCUUUUUGUCACAGAGUAUGAGCAUAUGUACAGGCUUUUUAAAAAGUUAAAUGCAGGCCAGUCACAGUGGCUUAUGCCUAUAAUCCCAGCACUUUUGGAGGCCAAGUUGGGAGGAUCACUUGAGUCCAGGAGUUUGAGACCAGUCUGAGCAACAUGGCAGGACCCCAUCUAUGCAAAAAAUACCACCUCCCCCCCAAAAAAAUUAGCUGGGCAUGGCGUAGCUGUAGUAGUCCCAGCUACUGGGGGUGGGGGUUGGUGGGGCACUGAGGCAGGAGGAUCACUUGAGCCCAGGAGGUAGCGGCUGCAGUGAGCCAAGAUCGUGACACUGCACUUCAGUCUGAACAACAGAGUGAGACUGUCUCAAGAAAAAAAAAAAUGUUAAAUGCUGUCACAUGUCAAGGGAUAUUCCCAUUGUGAGCCAAACCCUUUUGCUUUUCUUUCGAAAUCCACCUUGGGUCUGUCAUCUUCCUCCUGGAGUCUGCCCAUUUAGGAUUCACAUUCACUAAGACUAAUGAGAAGGCAGAAUGUCUGCAUAUGAAUAUGAGUCAGGUCUUGAUUCAUUCACUUAAAUUUGCAGAAGGGUAGCAGGAAUGUCAGUCAAGCCACUAACAGCCGAGGAAGGUGCUAAGACAGAACAACUGUUAGAAUGGGAAGACAGGGCCAUGUCGAUCUUGAGCAUCACAGAGACAGACGUGCAGAAGAUAGACGUGUGCAGAGCCAUGUAGCUCUGAAUACAGCGUCCACCAUGAACCUGUGCAUGACAUACCCGCCAUUCUCAGUGAUUCACUCACUCAAGACAGUCACUAUCAGAUUCCCUCUUGCUAAUAUUGCCAAUGUUAGCAAUCAGAAGAUGUCACAGGACAGCUGCCUUGCCUUUUUCAGCUGGGAUACUACCUCAGAAUCCAAAAUAUCAUAGGGAGAGGAGGGUGAUCUGGUUUAUAAACUGGGGAAGUGCUCAAGGAGAGGAUGCAGAUCUGGUGUGGAAACAGCUCAGUUUCAAGCUGAAACCCCCAUGUUAAAUUUAAAAUUAUGAAAAGGAAUGGGAAAGAAAUGAAGAGUUAAAGAAGGUCUCCCAUGUCCCGUGGCGAGGUAGAUUGGGACAGUGACAGUCCAGGAGCCUCUGCUCUUAUUGGGCUGAAAUCAGGAGGUGAAAAGCUGCAAGGUCGGUGGCUAUGGGGACGGGUCUAUGGGAAACCCCGAGAUCUUCGGAGAGCGGCCCUGACUCCCCGGAGACACUAAUGACUCAGAGCGGGGCAUCCUGAGUUCCGGGAAAAGAACUAAGGGGAUUUCCAUUUCUUUAUAGGGAUGGUCUCACCUGCUCACAUCCAAGUGGAACCCUAAAGAGGCCAGAGCCUCCUGUGACCCAGAGAAGGUUGUCAUUGGAGGUCAGGCAAAUCAAAACAUAGCUGGAGAUGGGAGACCUGCACGGGCCACAUGCUGUGGCCCCAAGUGUGAAAAGGGGUUCCUCCUACUCGGUCUUGGAGGCAGAGGCAGCUGAGAUAAGGGGCCGGGGACAGGAACCCUCAGGAGGGGCGUUGGAGAAAGACGGCAGUCCUUGGGCACUGCAGGCCCACACGCCCUCCCUGGCGCCUGGUGCGCUGAGCCCUGGAGAACGCCCCCACUGCGGGCUCCUGACAGCAGAGCAUCUCUCAGGAGGAGGGGCUCCAUAAGCAAGUGAAGGAGGCCAUAGUCUUCCGGCCAGGAGGAAGCUGCAAUGUGGGGGCCGCCGUGGUUUUCUGGCCCUUGGAGAGCUUUAGGAAACGCAUUGCCAGGGCCCGUUCCCCGGUCCUGCGUCUCUAGGGCAGGCCUUGGCAGCUCCAUUUCCCACAAGCUGGCCAGUGUUUCUUCCAUGCGAAAUGCUGCUGUUUCUGAGGAAAGAAGGAAAGAGUCCGGCUCAGUGUAUGUAAGCAGAUCUGCGCGACCCUGGUCUCCUCAGCCACGGUCCCUCAGUGACAGUUGUGGUGGUGGGAGGGGGCUGGCCCCAGAUGAAGCUCCUGUGGACCUGCAAAGGACAUGCCCAUUUGACUUUGACCUUGUCCAUUUAAGUAUUGCUGAAAUUUCACAAUCCUGUGAGCCAAUCCCUUAAAAAAAAAAUACAGAAAAAUGGCACUGUGCCCAUAGUCCCUUGCUGCUGUGAGGCAAGGCCAGUUCAAGGAAACAGUAGGUCAACUCCAACCACACUCGAAUGGCCGCGGCUGUUAGGAAGAACGCGUCCUUCUCAUCUUCUGUGUUGUCUGCGGUGGGUGGCGCAUAGGGCAGGCCUGGGAAGCCAGAAUGACCAGCAGUGGCUUGGCAGCGGGGCAAGGAGGGCUCAUGGGUCUCCGUGUGCUUCUCAGGCCCUGCUGGUAGGAUUUGUUCAUCUUGCCAUGACCUUCGCGGUGCCCCUGGGAUGCAUUCCCAGUUGUACUUAGUAGAGGAAAAGGUGUUUGAGAGUGUAGGGCCCCCAGAGUUCAAGGAGGCAUGAAAGGAUGGAGCUGGGGGAUGGGAGGGUUGAAAAGGACAACCGCCUCCUUCUUCUGAGCCUCUAAUUCCUUUUGGCUGCGCGUGGAGCCUCGCACAUGUAAUCCCAGAGUUUUGGGAGGCCCAGGCAGAGGAUCACAUAAGGCCAGGAGUUUGAGACCAGCCUAGGCAACAUGGUGAGACCUAGGCAACAUGGAGUCAUCAUCAAAAGGAAGAGUGGGGAGAUCCCAUGUCCCUUGGCCGUGGAGGCGUUUGCCGCUCACCUGAGCUACAUCUGCAGAUAC